Molecule: ribosomal RNA, 503 nt
Filed under: uncultured bacterium
Lineage: Bacteria
Description: partial 16S ribosomal RNA
Rfam family: Bacterial small subunit ribosomal RNA
Source: RNAcentral
AUUGAACGCUGGCGGCAGGCUUAACACAUGCAAGUCGAGCGGGGUGAUGGUGCUUGCACUAUCACUUAGCGGCGGACGGGUGAGUAAUGCUUAGGAAUCUGCCUAUUAGUGGGGGACAACAUCUCGAAAGGGAUGCUAAUACCGCAUACGUCCUACGGGAGAAAGCAGGGGAUCACUUGUGACCUUGCGCUAAUAGAUGAGCCUAAGUCGGAUUAGCUAGUUGGCGGGGUAAAGGCCUACCAAGGCGACGAUCUGUAGCGGGUCUGAGAGGAUGAUCCGCCACACUGGGACUGAGACACGGCCCAGACUCCUACGGGAGGCAGCAGUGGGGAAGAUUGGACAAUGGGGGGAACCCUGAUCCAGCCAUGCCGCGUGUGUGAAGAAGGCCUUAUGGUUGUAAAGCACUUUAAGCGAGGAGGAGGCUCUUUUGGUUAAUACCCAAGAUGAGUGGACGUUACUCGCAGAAUAAGCACCGGCUAACCCUGUGCCAGCCGCCGCAGUAA